RNAcentral lists this small nucleolar RNA (136 nucleotides) under Ictidomys tridecemlineatus (thirteen-lined ground squirrel). RNAcentral's name for it is "Spermophilus tridecemlineatus (thirteen-lined ground squirrel) Small nucleolar RNA SNORA40". It matches the Rfam family "Small nucleolar RNA SNORA40". From Rfam's summary of the family: The snoRNA ACA 40 belongs to the H/ACA family of snoRNAs and guides the pseudouridylation of 28S rRNA subunit at position U4565. NB This family has a high threshold value to exclude a large number of closely related sequences that do not appear to have conserved H and ACA boxes, and may be pseudogenes. The record is from Rfam by way of RNAcentral. Lineage: Eukaryota; Metazoa; Chordata; Mammalia; Rodentia; Sciuridae.
AGCUCUUAUGUUUGUGUUUUUGCUUACUUGUGAAUAAAGACUUAUGGACACGUGCAAAAAAAUAAAUAAAUAAAUCCUAUCUUGCAACCCAGAACUCAUUGUUCAGUGAAUUUUGAUACAUACAAGAAGUAAUGUU